GAGGGCAAGUCUGGUGCCAGCAGCCGCGGUAAUUCCAGCUCCAAUAGCGUAUAUUAAAGUUGCUGCAGUUAAAAAGCUCGUAGUUGAAUUUCGGGACCAAUAUGUCGGUCGUGCUUUUGUACGUACUGAUAUAAUUGGUUUCUCCCUUCUGAAGAACCUUGAUGUCAUUAAUUUGGUGUCUUGGGGAAUCAGGACUGUUACUUUGAAAAAAUUAGAGUGUUUAAAGCAGGCUCGCGCUUGAAUACAUUAGCAUGGAAUAAUGAAAUAGGACGUUUGAUUCUAUUUUGUUGGUUUCUAGGAUCGACGUAAUGAUUAAUAGGGAUAGUUGGGGGCAUUAGUAUUCAAUUGUCAGAGGUGAAAUUCUUGGAUUUAUUGAAGACUAACUACUGCGAAAGCAUUUGCCAAGGAUGUUUUCAUUAAUCAAGAACGAAAGUUAGGGGAUCGAAGACGAUCAGAUACCGUCGUAGUCUUAACCAUAAACUA
This 483-nucleotide ribosomal RNA is filed under the name uncultured Glomus. RNAcentral describes it as "SSU rRNA". It matches the Rfam family "Eukaryotic small subunit ribosomal RNA", at positions 551 to 1039 of the family's 1831-position model. Lineage: Eukaryota; Fungi; Glomeromycota; Glomeromycetes; Glomerales; Glomeraceae. The record is from RNAcentral.